Acanthopagrus latus (yellowfin seabream) is the source of this 1257-nucleotide long non-coding RNA. RefSeq lists it as uncharacterized. The transcript is spliced from 5 exons. The record is from RefSeq and is a predicted model, not a curated record. Lineage: Eukaryota; Metazoa; Chordata; Actinopteri; Spariformes; Sparidae.
UAAUAAACAUUCAGCUAAUACUCUGCUGCAGUCAUUGUCAAAGUAGGGGGGCGGGUUACAGAGGCGCAGUUGCCGACAUGGUUAUGGGACAAGCUAGCUUACAAGCUAGUUACUGGUCAGGAUUGCAUAUGUUGCAAAUUUGUUCAUAACUUCGGUUAACAAGAGGAACAGGACACUAUGUGAGGAGCUUCAUGUCUCCCACCUGCUAAUGUCAAGCCACCAGCCAGAGCAUCAUGUUGGACUGCAGCAUCCAGCCGGAUGCAACAUCCACAGCCUUUCCCCCGCCAUCCCUCGCUUGUUCUCUGUCCUUCACCUGCAGAUUCUUCAGGUAUCAAGCCAUGAAUUUGGUCAUAUCCUGAAGAAACUGAAGAAAUCAAUUGAGCUGUUACUCAAGGCCGAUGACUACACACUACCAGAUGUCACAGUGGAACUUGCAGAAGUGAAAAAACACUUCAGUGACUUGACGAAAAGCCAGUGAGAAAAAACACCAUAGAUUUGGUUUGCUCACUGUGGAAAAGCAGCAGAUGCCUGACUACCAGAUAAAGGUCCCUGUGGAUCUGCUGACUUGAGAUGUGAGGCCUUGUGAGUUUCAGAAAGAUUUUAAGACGUUUUUUUCCUCAAUAGGACAUUUUUCGAUUUUAAUUGAUUGAAUCAGAGGCAGACAGAGUGUGUGUGUGUGUGUGUGCGUGUGUAUCACAGCAAAAUUCCUCAGUCAGAUUUAAACCAGUGACGCUGUGGUUUCAUUGUACUGGUCCUAAUGACCACUCCAUUAUGAUGGAGGGACAAUUUAUUUUUAAUUUUUUUUCCUUCUUGAGUAUAUCUUUUAUGUUACUUGUUCAUGUUUUUAUUUUUUUAGUUUAGUAGUUAAGUUUUAGUUGAGUUUAGUGGUUGACUGGGAUCAAUGCACUGCAGUUUAAUUGAUAUUUUAGUUAUGGGUGAUUUCAUGAGACUCUUGAACUUUGAUUACAAACUGUAGGUUGGAUAUAACAUGGACAUUAGGCUUUCCAAUCAAAUAAUCUUGAAUGACCCUUUUGUCUUAAUGCUAAAUAAUUGUUUGUGUGUUCAUAUAUGAGAAAUAGAGAGAACUAGAUGAUAGUGAUAAACCAACUGAUUCACAUUCACAUUUUUCCUUUAAAGUUUCUCCAAUCUGUUUUUGAUUUUGUAUACUGUUCAAUAACAUUCACUUCUGAAUGAGAAUGCCACUGGUUGUUUGGCUUCUUUGUUGUUAAUGUUAUCAUUAAAGCACCCAAACACUGC